Molecule: long non-coding RNA, 521 nt
Filed under: Cervus hanglu yarkandensis (Yarkand deer)
Lineage: Eukaryota; Metazoa; Chordata; Mammalia; Artiodactyla; Cervidae
Description: lncRNA (ENSCHYG00000016254.1)
Source: RNAcentral
AUGUCUAGCUGGGCUGGAGCAAAGGAUUUCAAGAACGGGAGCAAAGAGGGAUCUCCUGGAAAACCUGCUGUUUUCUGCUCUCCUCCCCUGGAGAAGUUGGAAAGGAAGAAAAUCAUCAUCCUGUUUGUUCUUGUUUCAUGUGCUAUUAUGUUCCCUUACUUCUCCAUGAAGAUAACUUCAGGGAAAUACUUCUCCACUGAACCUUUGAAAGUAGGACAUCACAGAAGGAUGUGAACACUGAGCCCCAGAAACAAGAUCCAGUAGAAAGAACCAGUUGUGAUGUUGAGUCUGCUAGACAGGUUCCUGGAGCAAGAGUGAAGAGAUUGGAUCCCAUCAUUGGGACACUUUAGGUAAGUCACCAGUCUUCCCUCCAUUGUCUUCUAUACAACAGGAUAACAGUACCCAAUGCUUCUGACCACCCAGGAGUAUUGUGAAGUUUAGGUAUGAACCCAUGUGGGAAAGCAACCUGUGAUUGUAGGUGGGAGGGAAGGACCAGUGUACUAUAUUAACAGAUACACCCC